RNAcentral lists this ribosomal RNA (376 nucleotides) under uncultured organism. RNAcentral's name for it is "partial 16S ribosomal RNA". It matches the Rfam family "Bacterial small subunit ribosomal RNA", at positions 527 to 897 of the family's 1533-position model. The record is from RNAcentral.
GUAGGUGGCAAGCGUUGUCCGGGAAUUAUUGGGGCGUAAAGCGCGCGCAGGCGGUUCUUUAAGUCUGAUGUGAAAGCCCACGGGCUCAACCGUGGAGGGUCAUUGGAAACUGGAGAACUUGAGUACAGAAGAGGAAAGCGGAAUUCCACGUGUAGCGGUGAAAUGCGUAGAGAUGUGGAGGAACACCAGUGGCGAAGGCGGCUUUCUGGUCUGUAACUGACGCUGAGGCGCGAAAGCAUGGGGAGCAAACAGGAUUAGAUACCCUGGUAGUCCACGCCGUAAACGAUGAGUGCUAAGUGUUAGGGGGUUUCCGCCCCUUAGUGCUGCAGCUAACGCAUUAAGCACUCCGCCUGGGGAGUACGGCCGCAAAGGCUGA